RNAcentral lists this ribosomal RNA (441 nucleotides) under uncultured prokaryote. RNAcentral's name for it is "partial 16S ribosomal RNA". The record is from RNAcentral.
CCCUAUGGGGUGCGCGUCAGCCGGGUGUAGAGGGGAUCCAGGGAUUUCUCGAACUGGCGCUGAGCUUCAGCCCGGAACCCGGGGUGACCGAGGUAGGCCUGCAGCAACUCCAACUGAGCCAGGAGAUCGCUGGGCGUUGUCUUACCGGAGAGCACAAAGGCAUCGUCAUCCACCCGCGCGUCCGCAUCCACGGUCUUGCCGGCAAAGAUGCGUUCCAGGUCAUCGUAGCUGUGCGCUUCCAGUCCGCCUGCGGUGAAGGCGAAGUUGAACAGGUUGGAGAGCCCGGGCUUGUCCGCGGGUUCUGAGCGCCGCCCCAGUCCAAAGCGCAGGGAGACGUUGAUGGUGUCCUUCUCGAAAUCGGUGACCUUCAGAUUGGCCCUCACUUCGUUGGCGAAGCGGAUUUGAGUGAUCCCCAAAUCCUGGACGGAUUGGCGGGGGGGC